This 600-nucleotide ribosomal RNA is filed under the name Triticum aestivum (bread wheat). RNAcentral describes it as "partial small subunit ribosomal RNA". The record is from RNAcentral. Lineage: Eukaryota; Viridiplantae; Streptophyta; Magnoliopsida; Poales; Poaceae.
AUGCGCCGAGCUCGCUCCUCACAUAAUUACCAUGGGAAGCGCAUGGAAGCAAUUGAUGCUGUCAAUGAAUGGAGAUUGCCUAAAGUAAGUGCAGAGGAAGAUGGGGCAGUGGAUCAGAAAGCCUGGCAGGAUGAUACCAUGUCAUGUCGUGUAUCCUCAGCUCGUGAUUGGAACUUCGGGUCUGAUAGUGUCUAUGAGGGCCCUGCGAUGAAACAUAAGGAAAAUGCUGUCCACGCCAAGUUGGUUGCCUGGAAGGAUGCACAGGUUUCAAAGCUCAUUGACAAGCUGAAAGCCCAGAUCGAUGAAUGGCAGAAGAAUAAGUUUACAUGGGCCAGGGAUAAACUGGCAAAAACUGAGAAGAAGUUGGAGAAGCAGAGAACUGAAACCGUAGUGAAGAUGCAAAAGGCGAUAGAAGAUGCAGAGAGGAAAGAUGAUAUGAAGAGUCAAGAAGAGGCAGCCGCCAAGAGUAAGAUAGCUAGUUUCGAGAGAGCCCUUCAGGUGAUGUCUAGGGCAGGAAGGCAGGCCGAUUGUCAAAUACUAAUGAAGGGACCGUAUACUGUACAGAAUGGCGGUUGCCAUAUAGUACUAACCAAAGGAUGA